AUACGGAGGGGGCUAGCGUUGUUCGGAAUUACUGGGCGUAAAGCGCGCGUAGGCGGAUUGAUCAGUCAGGGGUGAAAUCCCGAGGCUUAACCUCGGAACUGCCUUUGAUACUGUCAAUCUUGAGUUCGAGAGAGGUGAGUGGAAUUCCUAGUGUAGAGGUGAAAUUCGUAGAUAUUAGGAAGAACACCAGUGGCGAAGGCGGCUCACUGGCUCGAUACUGACGCUGAGGUGCGAAAGCGUGGGGAGCAAACAGAAUUAGAAACCCUAGUAGUCC
This 274-nucleotide ribosomal RNA is filed under the name uncultured bacterium. Its description in RNAcentral is "partial 16S ribosomal RNA". It matches the Rfam family "Bacterial small subunit ribosomal RNA", at positions 523 to 796 of the family's 1533-position model. The record is from RNAcentral.